UAACGCGUAGGUGACCUGCCCGGAAGUGGGGAAUAACUGCCCGAAAGGGUGGCUAAUACCGCAUGUGGUCGGCGAAUCAGAUCGCCGUCCAAAGCCGCAAGGCGCUUCCGGAGGGGCCUGCGUCCGAUUAGCUAGUUGGCGGGGUAACGGCUCACCAAGGCGACGAUCGGUAGCUGGUCUGAGAGGAUGAUCAGCCAGACUGGGACUGAGAACGGCCCAGACUCCUACGGGAGGCAGCAGUCGGGAAUUUUGCCCAAUGGACGAAAGUCUGAGGCAGCAACUCCGCGUGAGGGAUGAAGGCCUUCGGGUCGUAAACCUCUUUUCCCAGGGAAGAUCCAAGACGGUACCUGGGGAAUAAGCCACGGCUAACUACGUGCCAGCAGCCGCGGUAAUACGUAGGUGGCGAGCGUUGUCCGGAUUUACUGGGCGUAAAGCGCGCGCAGGCGGCCGUCCAAGUCCGAUGUGAAAGCUUCCGGCUUAACUGGAAAACGGCAUCGGAUACUGGUCGGCUGGAAGGUGGGAGAGGGUAGCGGAAUUCCCGGUGUAGUGGUGAAAUGCGUAGAUAUCGGGAGGAACACCAGUGGCGAAAGCGGCUACCUGGCCCACUCUUGACGCUGAGGCGCGAAAGCUAGGGGAGCGAACGGGAUUAGAUACCCCGGUAGUCCUAGCCGUAAACGAUGAACACUAGGCGUUGUCGGUAUCGACCCCGGCAGUGCCGAAGCUAACGCAUUAAGUGUUCCGCCUGGGGAGUACGGCCGCAAGGCUA
This 766-nucleotide ribosomal RNA is filed under the name uncultured Chloroflexota bacterium. Its description in RNAcentral is "bacterial SSU rRNA". It matches the Rfam family "Bacterial small subunit ribosomal RNA", at positions 111 to 896 of the family's 1533-position model. The record is from RNAcentral. Lineage: Bacteria; Bacillati; Chloroflexota.